UCAGAAAAAUUGUUCAAUCUAGGGUUUAAAAACAACGGGUUCUUUGGUUUCAGGAAAAUUAUCUCUAAUUCGUGGAAUUAGUGUUCUUAUUGUUUAUGUUCUUUUCGAAACCAGGUUAAGGGCUUCUAACGCACUGGUGAAUGAGCAGAAGGAUUGCCUGAUAAAGAAUCUUGUGUGUUUACGAGGGAAAGAGAGAAAAAGACAGUAGAGAUUAAAUUAGAAGAAGAGCUGGAAACUGAACCCAAUGAAGAGAAGAAACUUUGUGCUUGAAGCUUGCCUUACAGAAGAAUUUGCAUAUGGGAAAGCCGAGGGAUCUGCUUCUAAGAUUGAGUCUUUGCAUCAUCGAUGAUUAAGGCACAUUAGCCUCUAGAUGAGGAACAGUGGAUGCCCCAUCGCCUGCUCACUGACCACUUCAAAUAACUGAACAGUACAAAUGGCAAGAAACAAGAGAGGUAGAUGACAAAACCUCAUCUGUAACCUUUCCAUGGAGGAGGGAUAUCAUGCGUCAUCUUUGAUUAAAUCUACUGGGGAGAGUGAGUCCUUUUGCCUCCAUGUGUUGAAAAGUAAACACACAAGAUUCUGCUCAAAAAACACAACAACAAAUAUUCGAUGUUGUGUUUAGUUGUAUAAUCUGUUGUAAGUAUCUUUGCUGGAAAAACAUCUUCAGUUCAAGUUAUUCUUCAAUGUUGUGUUUAGUUGUAUAAUUUGGUUGGAAUAUUCGACUACAUUAGUAGUGGAAUUUGAGGUCUGAAUUUCAUUUGACAUUAGGUUGAUAUAUAAUAAACUAUUGGGUACGAGACUGGUAGGUCGAUUUGUUUUGUGAUGUUCGUUUCUCUUAGAAAUCAAUGAUACUCCUGAUGAGAUAGCUUUUACAAAAAUAACUCA
Molecule: long non-coding RNA, 885 nt
Organism: Papaver somniferum (opium poppy)
Lineage: Eukaryota; Viridiplantae; Streptophyta; Magnoliopsida; Ranunculales; Papaveraceae
Exons: 4
Source: RefSeq, a predicted model, not a curated record